Molecule: ribosomal RNA, 429 nt
Filed under: Bacillota bacterium
Lineage: Bacteria; Bacillati; Bacillota
Description: Firmicutes bacterium partial 16S ribosomal RNA
Rfam family: Bacterial small subunit ribosomal RNA
Source: RNAcentral
UAGGGAAUCUUCGGCAAUGGACGGAAGUCUGACCGAGCAACGCCGCGUGAGUGAAGAAGGUUUUCGGAUCGUAAAGCUCUUUUGUUAGAGAAGAACGUUGGUAGGAUUGGAAAAUCUACCAAGUGACGGUAACUAACCAGAAAGGGACGGCUAACUACGUGCCAGCAGCCGCGGUAAUACGUAGGUCCCGAGCGUUGUCCGGAUUUAUUGGUCGUAAAGCGAGCGCAGGCGGUUCUUUAAGUCUGAAGUUAAAGGCAGUGGCUUAACCAUUGUACGCUUUGGAAACUGGAGGACUUGAGUGCAGAAGGGGAGAGUGGAAUUCCAUGUGUAGCGGUGAAAUGCGUAGAUAUAUGGAGGAACACCGGUGGCGAAAGCGGCUCUCUGGUCUGUAACUGACGCUGAGGCUCGAAAGCGUGGGGAGCAAACAGG